This 460-nucleotide long non-coding RNA is filed under the name Gossypium barbadense (sea-island cotton). RNAcentral's name for it is "long non-coding RNA (GBAR_LNC014329)". The record is from RNAcentral. Lineage: Eukaryota; Viridiplantae; Streptophyta; Magnoliopsida; Malvales; Malvaceae.
UCACAUGGAGAAAACCAUUCAGUGAGUGUCUUUCGGCUUUUAGCACUAACAAUGAAAACCAUGUUGUUUCUAUCUCUGCACAGGCUAUUUAGGAUGUCAAGGGAUUUGGAUGAUGGGCUCUUAUCAAUCGAAGCCUGUGGCAUUAAAGUGCCAUCAUAGUCUAGAAGAAUCGCCCUAGUCGUAGUCCUCUUGUAAGCUGAUACAAUGUGCUCCAUUGAGAGCUUUCUGAAGUUCGGAUCAAGAGCCACAACUCGAAAACUUAGCCCAAAACCAAUACCCCAGCAUCUCCGUCUAGAAUGUUCUCGACAAGUCCUCUCCAAAUCCUGAAGGAAACUAUGAGCCCAGUAACCAACAUGAUGUGUACUCACAUAUCUGUAAUGCUUUUCAUGCCUAAGCUGUUUUUCUGCUUCUGCCAUAGCGAGGGCACAGUCCAUUGCAUCUGCUACAGCAUCAAUGUUCC